AUUGAACGCUGGCGGCAUGCCUUACACAUGCAAGUCGAACGGUAACAGGUCUUCGGAUGCUGACGAGUGGCGAACGGGUGAGUAAUACAUCGGAACGUGCCUAGUAGUGGGGGAUAACUACUCGAAAGAGUGGCUAAUACCGCAUGAGAUCUACGGAUGAAAGCAGGGGAUCGCAAGACCUUGCGCUACUAGAGCGGCCGGUGGCAGAUUAGGUAGUUGGUGGGAUAAAAGCUUACCAAGCCGAAGAUCGGUAGCUGGUCUGAGAGGACGAUCAGCCACACUGGGACUGAGAAACGGCCCAGACUCCUACGGGAGGCAGCAGUGGGGAAUUUUGGACAAUGGGCGCAAGCCUGAUCCAGCAAUGCCGCGUGCAGGAUGAAGGCCUUCGGGUUGUAAACUGCUUUUGUACGGAACGAAAAGCCCCGGGUUAAUACCCUGGGGUCAUGACGGUACCGUAAGAAUAAGCACCGGCUAACUACGUGCCAGCCGCCGCGGUAA
Molecule: ribosomal RNA, 498 nt
Filed under: uncultured bacterium
Lineage: Bacteria
Description: partial 16S ribosomal RNA
Rfam family: Bacterial small subunit ribosomal RNA
Source: RNAcentral